RNAcentral lists this ribosomal RNA (468 nucleotides) under uncultured bacterium. RNAcentral describes it as "partial 16S ribosomal RNA". It matches the Rfam family "Bacterial small subunit ribosomal RNA", at positions 28 to 507 of the family's 1533-position model. The record is from RNAcentral.
GACGAACGCUGGCGGCGUGCUUAACACAUGCAAGUCGAACGGUGAAGCUCCAGCUUGCUGGAGUGGAUCAGUGGCGAACGGGUGAGUAACACGUGAGCAACCUGCCCCUGACUCUGGAAUAAGCGCUGGAAACGGCGUCUAAUACUGGAUACGAGAAGGGUCCGCAUGGGCACUUUCUGGAAAGUUUUUCGGUUGGGGAUGGGCUCGCGGCCUAUCAGCUUGUUGGUGAGGUAAUGGCUCACCAAGGCGACGACGGGUAGCCGGCCUGAGAGGGCGACCGGCCACACUGGGACUGAGACACGGCCCAGACUCCUACGGGAGGCAGCGGUGGGGAAUAUUGCACAAUGGGCGAAAGCCUGAUGCAGCGACGCCGCGUGAGGGAUGACGGCCUUCGGGUUGUAAACCUCUUUCAGCAGGGAAGAAGCGAAAGUGACGGUACCUGCAGAAGAAGCACCGGCUAACUACGUG